Molecule: ribosomal RNA, 504 nt
Filed under: uncultured bacterium
Lineage: Bacteria
Description: partial 16S ribosomal RNA
Rfam family: Bacterial small subunit ribosomal RNA
Source: RNAcentral
AUUGAACACUGGCGGCAGGCCUAACACAUGCAAGUCGAACGGUAGCACAGAGAGCUUGCUCUCGGGUGACGAGUGGCGGACGGGUGAGUAACGUCUGGGAAACUGCCCGAUGGAGGGAGAUAACUACUGGAAACGGUAGCUAAUACCGCAUAACGUCGCAAGACCAAAGUGGGGGACCUUCGGGCCUCACACCACCGGAUGUGCCCAGAUGGGAUUAGCUAGUAGGUGGGGUAAUGGCUCACCUAGGCGACGAUCCCUAGCUGGUCUGAGAGGAUGACCAGCCACACUGGAACUGAGACGCGGUCCAGACUCCUACGGGAGGCAGCAGUGGGGAAUAUUGCACAAUGGGCGCAAGCCUGAUGCAGCCAUGCCGCGUGUAUGAAGAAGGCCUUCGGGUUGUAAAGUACUUUCAGCGGGGAGGAAGGCGGUGAAGUUAAUAGCUUCACCGAUUGACGUUACCCGCAGAAGAAGCACCGGCUAACUCCGUGCCAGCCGCCGCUGUAA